Molecule: long non-coding RNA, 771 nt
Organism: Nymphaea colorata (pocket water lily)
Lineage: Eukaryota; Viridiplantae; Streptophyta; Magnoliopsida; Nymphaeales; Nymphaeaceae
Exons: 3
Source: RefSeq, a predicted model, not a curated record
AACAUUGCCUAUGGAUCAAUAUCAGUAUAUUACAAUUAGACCUCCUCGAAGAGAAAAAGAUUGAAUGUUGCAAAACAUGUCGACGUUUAUUGCUAGAAGGUAGCCAAACAUUAUGCUAAGCUAUUCAUCGAGAGAAGCACUCAGAUCGACCAUUCCAUCGAAGCAUCAUCAGUGAAGAAAGUGGGCACCAAAGAGGGAUGGGCUAUAUGUGAUAAAAGAUUCUUUUCAAGAAUUCUUACCGCCUCAGACGAGUGACUAGCGACGACAGCGGCGACUGGCGACGGCAGUGGCGACUGGCGACGGCAGCGGCGACUGCGACCAGCGACAUCAGCGACAACUGCGACUGGUGACGGCAGCGACGACCGGUGAUAGCAGAUGGUAGGAGGCGACUGUCACGCCAGUCUUCCUCUCCUGCCGCUCGAAACUCUCACACGGAAGUCGUCUCUCUCGCCGCCUCACUCUCCUAUACACUCGCUGUCUCCCUCUCCUACUGCUCGAAACCCUCACACUGAAGUCACCUCUCUCACCUUUCGAUCGACCUUCUCUGUCUCUGUGUCUCCUUGUUUCCUUAUGCAAUACGUGUCAUGCCUCUUUUGUUUUCUCCUACCAAUUUUAGAAUUGUAAAGCUCAACCAGAGCCUACUCUUUUGUCUCUGUCAUUGCGUGCUUCCUUCUUUUAUUAUCUUUGCUGUCUCAUUUUUAAGAAUACACAUUUUUGUAUCUGAAUUUCUUCUCUGAGCUUGAAGAUGACAUUAUGCAAAAUACAACAGAA